Anolis carolinensis (green anole) is the source of this 796-nucleotide long non-coding RNA. RefSeq lists it as uncharacterized. NCBI's taxonomy places the organism in Eukaryota, Metazoa, Chordata, Lepidosauria, Squamata, Anolidae. The transcript is spliced from 2 exons. The record is from RefSeq and is a predicted model, not a curated record.
ACCCACUCAGGGAAAGGCAUGGAUUGGGUUCUAAUGUAUUACAACUGAACUCAACAUUCAGAUAUUAUAGAAUCAUAGAGCAUAGAGUUGGAAGAGACCUCAUGGACUAUCUAGUCCAAUCCCAUUCUGCCUAGAAGCAUGAAAACCAUAUUCAAAGCACCCCCGACAAAUGGCCAUCCAGCCUCUACUUAAAACCUCCAAAGAAGGAGCCUCAACACACUCUGAGGCAGAGAGUUCCACUGCUGAACAGGUCUCACAAUGAGUAAGUUCUUCCUAAUGUUCAGACGGAAUCUCCUUUCUUGUAGUGUGAAGCCAUUGUUCCUCAUCCUCGUCUCCAAGGCAGCAGAAAACAAGCUUGCUCCCUCCUCCCUAUGACUUCUCCUCACAUAUUUACUCACGGCCUUUAUGUCUCCUCUCAGCCUUCUCUUCUGCAGGCCAAACAUGCCCAGCUCAACUAGAUAGUUUUUGAGAGGCUAGAAAUAUUUCCUGAAUCAAAGCAUCACUGGCUGAGUCCCUACAUUGAGGACUCCUGUGCCAUUGUCACAGUUUGGUAGGGACAAUCCCUACUAAUCCUCAGUCUUCCCACUUUUUCAACUACUCAUCACAGUGAGAGGGGAAAGCAUGGAUGCCAAGAGCCAGGAGUGAUAUCUUCCCAUUGUUGUCCCAUCCAUACCAAGAGCUGGCAACAAUGAGCAAUAUCAAACGCACGAGGGGAAACAGCCAUCAAAUUAUUCAUACACAGUUUAGGAAGAAAUGGACGUCUGUGAACCGUCUAAAUAAACCGCCUGGCUUUGAA